This is a long non-coding RNA of Hyaena hyaena (striped hyena), 109 nucleotides long. RefSeq lists it as uncharacterized. The transcript has 3 exons. NCBI's taxonomy places the organism in Eukaryota, Metazoa, Chordata, Mammalia, Carnivora, Hyaenidae. The record is from RefSeq and is a predicted model, not a curated record.
CUGCGCCCUGCCGCGGAGCCCUGAGCCCCGAGGUCACCGCGUGGUCGUCCCGCGCACACUGGACAGCAGCCUGGCACGCAGUGGGCGCAGGGUAGCAGCAAGAACAAGA